Molecule: non-coding RNA, 1186 nt
Organism: Cyanistes caeruleus (blue tit)
Lineage: Eukaryota; Metazoa; Chordata; Aves; Passeriformes; Paridae
Source: RefSeq, a predicted model, not a curated record
CAGCGAGGCAGGGCAGCGCACUCCCAAAUCCUGGCCCAUGUCCCUGUGGGGAGAGAGGACACUUGGGAAGUACUGGAGUGAGACACAGUCCCACAUGCCCCAUUAUACAGGAAGAACAUCAGGCCAUUUUCUUGGUCACUGGGAUUUGGACCACACAGAAAUGGUGACUAGAGAUGAAAAGCUUUUAAUCCCAUCAGUGGCUGUCAGUUAAUUUCUCACUUGUUGCACCUCCAGAGAAAGGGGAGGAUAAGGCUCACAAUCACUGAGCUGAUGAAUAUUUAUUUCACCUAGCACAAGUAAACGAAGACUUCAUUUGAGCAUGCUCUCUUGGAAAAGAAAAAAGCCUGCUUCCCUGGUGCUUCCGCAGUUGGCAGAGAAGAGUGGAAGAGGAACAAUUUCCCAGCACAUUCUGCAGCCUGUUCCAAAGACACCGCGUUGGAAUAAACCUUGGCACAGUUCUUACUGCAGGGUUAACAGGCCCAUAUUCACUCACUGGGGCUCAGAGAGCAGAGAACACUUUCUGCAAGCUCCUCACAGCUCAAGAACUCAUUCCCACCCUCAGCACCCGGCGCAAUGAGCCCCCAAACCAACGGGGGCUUUCCUGUCAGUGCAGUCCAGCACAGCUUCGCUGGCCGAGGCGUUCCAACAGCCCCUUCUCCUGAGGCAGGAGGAGAGCCCCUCUCUUGGAGACUUCCCACUGGAUACAGGCAUUAUGCAACAGGCAUCAAAAUAUAAAUACUCAAACUGCAUCAAAUUCAAAGGAAAUGCAGUUUAUCAGAAGAAUUCAGCUCAGGCACACCGGUGUUCCAUGCCUUUUUAUAAAUGGGUGACAAUUCCAUCCCUGCUGCAGAUUCCACACUGAAAUCUACACUGCAGGAUGCAGACACAAAUCAGAAAUCACCACCUUGACAAAACAUUCCACCCUGUGGCUUUCUGGGAACACCAGAAGUCUCUGCUCUGGCAGAAACACAACUGGAGGCAGCACCUGACCUUUAAAAUGGCUGAAAUUUCACCCCUGAUAUUUCAAGAACAGUUACUUUUGAUCACCAAUGCCAGUUUAUCCAGUUCCUUUGAAGAAGCCUUCUGCUGAAGGACAAAAGACUUCCCAAUACUGUUUGUCCUGAUAUGCAUCAGGAAAUAUUGACAUUGGUUUUAAUAAAAUUUCUGAGGUGUGUAUGUACUAACA